Molecule: ribosomal RNA, 253 nt
Filed under: uncultured bacterium
Lineage: Bacteria
Description: partial 16S ribosomal RNA
Rfam family: Bacterial small subunit ribosomal RNA
Source: RNAcentral
UACGUAGGUGGCAAGCGUUGUCCGGAUUUACUGGGCGUAAAGAGCGCGCAGGCGGUCGGAUAAGUCGAAUGUGAAAGCCCCCGGCUCAACUGGGGAGGGUCAUUCGAUACUGCUCGACUCGAAGGCAGGAGAGGGAAGUGGAAUUCCCGGUGUAGUGGUGAAAUGCGUAGAUAUCGGGAGGAACAUCAGUGGCGAAAGCGACUUCCUGGACCAGAACUGACGAUCAGGCACGAAAGCGUGGGGAGCAAACAGG